UUGCCUACGGGACGCAGCAGUGGGGAAUAUUGCACAAUGGGGGAAACCCUGAUGCAGCGACGCCGCGUGAGCGAUGAAGUAUCUCGGUAUGUAAAGCUCUAUCAGCAGGGAAGAAAGUGACAGUACCUGACUAAGAAGCCCUGGCUAACUACGUGCCAGCAGCCGCGGUAAUACGUAGGGGGCAAGCGUUAUCCGGAUUUACUGGGUGUAAAGGGAGCGUAGACGGCAGCGCAAGUCUGGAGUGAAAUGCCGGGGCCCAACCCCGGAAA
RNAcentral lists this ribosomal RNA (269 nucleotides) under uncultured bacterium. RNAcentral describes it as "partial 16S ribosomal RNA". It matches the Rfam family "Bacterial small subunit ribosomal RNA", at positions 335 to 621 of the family's 1533-position model. The record is from RNAcentral.